CCACGUUGCUUUCAGAUAUCCUCGUCUACACCCUUGGAUCGAUUCUGGUCCUUCUUUCUUCUUUUCCUUUCCCGGUUUGAUCAGGAGGGGCUACCUUUUUCGCUAGACCUCUUUUCUUGAUCGCCUUUUCACGUUGUUUGUGGCUUCCUUUCCACCUCGGUGUGCGAUGGCUACAGAUAUGGAUGUGUACAGUAGCAUGUCAGCUUUCUUGUCAACUGAUCCUUCUAGGGAAGCACUGGAACCUUGUAUUCAUGGUGCUCCCACCUCCUCUUUCUCCUCCACUGCAAGCUCGACCUUCCCCCAGCCUCUCUGCUUUCCUUCUCUCUCCUCUUCUCCUCCUUUCUCCUCUCUGUUUCACCAAAAUCCUAUCUUUUUUCUCUCCUCGCCUUUAUCAUCGAGCGCCCAAAUGGUUCCGCAGCACGUCCAAGCUCAGUUCCAGUACCAGCAGCAGCUCAUGGCCGCUUCCUCCGACCGCCGGAGUCUCAGGAGUGGGAACCUCCUCGCUCCGCACUCUCGGUCGAUGAAGCGUGCUGGGGCGCCGCCGUCGCUUCCGAAGCCUACGAAGCUCUUCCGCGGUGUCCGGCAGCGCCACUGGGGCAAAUGGGUCGCGGAAAUCCGCCUCCCCCGCAACCGCACCCGCCUCUGGCUCGGGAC
Molecule: long non-coding RNA, 654 nt
Filed under: Musa acuminata (dwarf banana)
Lineage: Eukaryota; Viridiplantae; Streptophyta; Magnoliopsida; Zingiberales; Musaceae
Description: long non-coding RNA (MACU_LNC006111)
Source: RNAcentral